RNAcentral lists this unclassified non-coding RNA (2497 nucleotides) under Hevea brasiliensis (rubber tree). The record is from RNAcentral. Lineage: Eukaryota; Viridiplantae; Streptophyta; Magnoliopsida; Malpighiales; Euphorbiaceae.
CCUCCAAUAAACACGUCAGGCUCAUAUAACAUGUGCGUCACUUUCACAGUUUCACGACAUAAAGGUCGUUUGGAACUAACAAAUGAAUGUCUUAGGUCUUCAGCCAUCUCUUAAACCAGCGUCAUUACAUUAUCACUAGUUUAUUAGCCAAAAACAAGAGGCAACACCCAUGUUUCUCUCUGGGAGGAUGAGGACGAGAAAUGAACCAAAAGCAACUACCACUUCAAGGUAGUUUCACUUACAUUUGCUAUUUUGCUCACUACGUACACGAGUUCACUGUACAGGCUUUCCCCACACACGAGUUUCUCAGAUUUUUAAUUAAACCAAAGCACCCAGGUGCCCAUAAAGUAUACAUAUAUAUAUAUAUUUGAGUAAAACUACAAAGUAAAACUACAAAGAAAAUGAGAAAGUCCUCUUACGUUGUAAAACUACUCUAUAGACCUUCUCUGGCCUUCCCUAUAUUGAGAAACAAAAGCGUAUAAAACGAACUAAAUGCAAGAGAUCGAUGUGAGCAGAGAUUAACUUUUUCACCCGUCAUAAAAAUACCUGGGCAAAGUGAAGCUCGCUAAUGCGAGGCUGACCCAUUUGGCUUUUUCUCGGGUGCAACUUCCCAUGUCUCUUCAGAACUCCCUCCUCCAUAUGGGGCGGCGGCGGCGGCAGCAGCAGCUGCUGCUCCAACAUUGAAGCUGCCAACGUAGGGAUUUAGCAAAGCGGAGCCAGUACCUAUGCCCAACCCAAGAAGAUCAAGCGUGGUCGGCUUGUUCCCAAACAAAUGAGAUGAACCUAUCAUAACAUCUCCAGACGGGAGUCCUAGGCCAAGCCCAGCUGCAACAGCAUUGUUAUCUGGCUUUACAUCCCAUUGAUUGCCGUUGAUAUCUCGACCAGAGGAAGAUGAAACUGGCAAUCCCAAGCCACGGAGAAAUGAUGAGUUUGAUGAUGUUGCACCCAUUUGUGCUGCUUUUUGAAGCAAUGCAGUAGCUGACAUGGCGGGCUGGGGAGACUGAGUAUAGUGUCGAUGUUCUUGGUCUGCGAAGAGGGAGGAGGCAUCGUUGCAGAGAUAAAGAGAAGAGGAAAGCGAAAGCGAUGGAGGUUCUAUGGCUCUGGGUGUUGGUAUUGUAGUUGCGCAAUCUGCGCUAGUUAAGGCGCAAAGAAGAUUGGAAAAUGAAGCUGAUGACGCAUGGGAUGCUGCUUGUGAGAUUGCCGCUGCCGUUGAGGAUGCGAAUACACUGGCAAAUACAUUGCUGGUGGAGCUGGUGCUUGUAACCGUGGCUGUCAAGCAUGUAGUUGCUGGUGUUGCCGCCGAAAGUCCAACUGGAUUUUCUGCUAAUUCUGAGCUUUGAACCGACAGACCCGGAGAUACCACAGUAGUGGAUGGAGUAAGAGGUGGAGGCGGUGGUGAAGCAACCACGCUCUUCACAUUCGUAUUCCCCUCCUUACCCAUAGUCGUUACGGUUUGUGCCCUCGCACUCUCCUCCGCCAAGGCAUCACAGAAUGCCCUAUGCGUUAUGAAGCUAUCCCUCCUGGAAAACAAAGUGCCACAAUCGCAUUUAUACUCUCGAGUGCCACAAGUCUUCAUGUGGGCCUUCCAAUCUGACUGCACUGCAUAUUUCUUCGAGCAACGCUCGCACUUCCACUUCUUCUCGCCGUGCUUUCUGCAAAAGUGCUUCUUGAUGCCGGUGAGGUCUCCCAGAGCUCUCGUUGGAUUGUGGUGAACACAAGUUGGUUCUGGGCACACGUAAACCCGCUUGCGUGGCUCCUUACUGGUUCGCUGCUUUAGCUUCCAUGGUAAGUUAUGGCCGCGGCGGUGAAGCUGGAGGUUUUGGUCUCGUUGGAAGCCUUUGUUGCAAAUCUCGCACACAAACCUGUUUGUGGCCAAUAAGGUCUCUGGCGAUAACGCAACCACUUCAGCAUCUGGAUCUGGCAUUCCAGGGAGGUUUCGCUUCUUCUUUGGUGGCGGCACUGAGAGUGGCGCCGCUUGAUUACCAAAAGAAGACACACUGGUGGCUUCUCCAGAAGCAGUAGAAAUUGUCAUUUGAGAUGAAUUUUCAACUUCUACCAUGCUAUUUCCUUCAAAGCUAAAUCAACCUCAAGGUGACUACACCCUUCCAGUUCUUCUGUCAGUGUCGAAGCGUAGAAUAUAGGGUUUUAGGGUUUAGAUCAAAAAGCUCAAUUACCAAGGCAAAUGGUGAACUCAGCCAAAACUAGCUACACCUACCUAUUCUGGACGAAUGAAUUCUAAAUUAACACAAAAUACCAAUUAACUACAAUUGGUGUUUUAAUGCAUAAAGACUGAUUGUUUCUCUGCAAUUGGAUCAUUCCAUAGGAAAACAGAAGGACCUAGUUUUACAAAAUUCUUCCCUCUGAACUCCCUCGAAAUGAAGCGAAACAAAACACCGAUUCAACUUAGUCGGUGACCGGUGGUUCACGGUCCCCAAAGGCGGCUUUUUCAGUUCAUACUCAUCUCCGUAUAGAGAGAGAGAGAGAGAUGGCAGAAACA